UAUCAAUAAGCGGAGGAAAAGAAACCAACAGGGAUUGCCUUAGUAACUGCGAGUGAAGCGGCAAAAGCUCAAAUUUGAAAUCUGGCGUCUUCGGCGUCCGAGUUGUAAUUUGGAGGGAUAUCUUCGGAGUUGGCGCCGUCCUAAGUUCCUUGGAACAGGACGUCAUAGAGGGUGAGAAUCCCGUGCCUGGAUGGCUGUCCAUCUCCAUGUGAAGUGUCUCCGACGAGUCGAGUUGUUUGGGAAUGCAGCUCAAAAUGGGUGGUAAAUUUCAUCUAAAGCUAAAUAUUGGCGAGAGACCGAUAGCGCACAAGUAGAGUGAUCGAAAGAUGAAAAGCACUUUGAAAAGAGAGUUAAAAAGUACGUGAAAUUGUUGAAAGGGAAGCGCUUGAGACCAGACUCAAUCUUUGGUGAUCAGCUGUGCUUCUGUACAGUGCACUUGCCAUUGAUUGGGCCAGCAUCGGUUCUGAUGGUGGGAUAAAAGUUUGAGGAAUGUGGCUCUCUUCGGGGAGUGUUAUAGCCUCGAUCAUAAUGCUGCCAGUUGGGACCGAGGACCGCGCUUCGGCUAGGAUGCUGGCGUAAUGGUCUUAAGCGACCCGUCUUGAAACACGGACCAAGGAGUCUAACAUCUAUGCGAGUGUUCGGGUGGAAAACCCUUGCGCGUAAUGAAAGUGAACGGAGGUGGGAACCCUCACGGGUGCACCAUCGACCGAUCCUGAUGUUUUCGGAAGGAUUUGAGUAAGAGCAUAGCUGUUGGGACCCGAAAGAUGGUGAACUAUGCCUGAAUAGGGUGAAGCCAGAGGAAACUCUGGUGGAGGCUCGCAGCGGUUCUGACGUGCAAAUCGAUCGUCAAAUUUGGGUAUAGGGGCGAAAGACUAAUCGAACCAUCUAGUAGCUGGUUCCUGCCGAA
RNAcentral lists this ribosomal RNA (907 nucleotides) under Aleuria aurantia (orange peel mushroom). Its description in RNAcentral is "eukaryotic LSU rRNA". It matches the Rfam family "Eukaryotic large subunit ribosomal RNA", at positions 41 to 965 of the family's 3401-position model. Lineage: Eukaryota; Fungi; Ascomycota; Pezizomycetes; Pezizales; Pyronemataceae. The record is from RNAcentral.